AACGAACGCUGGCGGCAUGCCUAACACAUGCAAGUCGAACGAGACCUUCGGGUCUAGUGGCGCACGGGUGCGUAACGCGUGGGAAUCUGCCCCUUGGUUCGGAAUAACUUCGGGAAACUGAAGCUAAUACCGGAUAAUGACGUAAGUCCAAAGAUUUAUCGCCAAGGGAUGAGCCCGCGUAGGAUUAGCUAGUUGGUAGGGUAAAGGCUCACCAAGGCGACGAUCCUUAGCUGGUCUGAGAGGAUGAUCAGCCGACACUGGGACUGAGACACGGCCCAGACUCCUACGGGAGGCAGCAGUGGGGAAUAUUGGACAAUGGGCGAAAGCCUGAUCCAGCAAUGCCGCGUGAGUGAUGAAGGCCUUAGGGUUGUAAAGCUCUUUUACCCGGGAAGAUAAUGACUGUACCGGGAGAAUAAGCCCCGGCUAACUCCGUGCCAGCAGCCGCGGUAAU
This 451-nucleotide ribosomal RNA is filed under the name uncultured bacterium. Its description in RNAcentral is "bacterial SSU rRNA". It matches the Rfam family "Bacterial small subunit ribosomal RNA", at positions 29 to 524 of the family's 1533-position model. The record is from RNAcentral.